Molecule: non-coding RNA, 28 nt
Filed under: Homo sapiens (human)
Lineage: Eukaryota; Metazoa; Chordata; Mammalia; Primates; Hominidae
Source: RNAcentral
UGGAGCCAUAAAGGGUUACACUUUGGUA